RNAcentral lists this ribosomal RNA (475 nucleotides) under Spermozoros weiweii. RNAcentral describes it as "partial 16S ribosomal RNA". It matches the Rfam family "Bacterial large subunit ribosomal RNA", at positions 1924 to 2633 of the family's 2925-position model. Lineage: Eukaryota; Metazoa; Arthropoda; Insecta; Zoraptera; Zorotypidae. The record is from RNAcentral.
UAAAUGGCCGCGGUAUUUUGACUGUGCUAAGGUAGCAUAAUCAUUAGUUUAUUAAUUUUAAACUGGAAUGAAUGAGUUGACGAGAAUUAAGCUUUUUUGAUGAGUAGGCUUGAAUUUUAUUUUUCAUUUAAAAAGAUGAAUUGAAUUUAAAAGACAAGAAGACCCUAUAGAGUUUUAUAUAAGGUAAUGUUUUUAGUGGUUGGAUUAAUUGUAUUUGGUUGGGGUAACGUUUAUAUAGAAUGAUUUAUAAAAUAUUUAAAACUAUAAAUUAGAAUUAUUGAACUUGAUAAAGUUAUUUGAUUAAAUUACCUUAGGGAUAACAGUGUAAUAUAUUUUUGAAGUUCAUAUUUAAAAAUGUGCUUGCAACCUCGAUGUUGAAUUAAGAUUUCUACUUGAAGUAUAAGUUAAUGUAGAAGGUCUGUUCGACCUUUAAAAUCUUACAUGAUUUGAGUUCAGAACGGCGUGAGCCAGGUUG